RNAcentral lists this ribosomal RNA (480 nucleotides) under uncultured bacterium. Its description in RNAcentral is "partial 16S ribosomal RNA". It matches the Rfam family "Bacterial small subunit ribosomal RNA", at positions 899 to 1397 of the family's 1533-position model. The record is from RNAcentral.
ACUCAAAUGAAUUGACGGGGACCCGCACAAGCAGCGGAGCGUGUGGUUUAAUUCGAUGCGACGCGAAGAACCUUACCAAGGCUUGACAUGCACCUGCAACUUUGUGAAAGCAAAGCCUCCUUCGGGACAGGUGCACAGAUGCUGCAUGGCUGUCGUCAGCUCGUGUCGUGAGAUGUUGGGUUAAGUCCCGCAACGAGCGCAACCCUUGUCCUUAGUUGCAUAUCUAGGGAGACCGCCGGAAACAAACCGGAGGAAGGUGGGGAUGACGUCAAGUCAGCAUGGCUCUUACGUCUUGGGCUACACACACGCUACAAUGGCCGGUACAGUGAGAAGCCACCCAGCGAUGGGGAGCAGACCUCCAAAGCCGGCCCCAGUUCAGAUUGCACUCUGCAACCCGGGUGCAUGAAGUGGGAGUUGCUAGUAACCGCGUGUCAGCAUAGCGCGGUGAAUAUGUUCCCGGGUCUUGUACACACCGCCCGU